CGGAGGGUGGGCCUGAGAGGGGUAGCGGCCAUCUCUUACCUAACCCUAACUGAGACUGGCGUAGGCGCUGCGCUUUUGUUCCCCGCGCGCUGUUUUUCUCGCUGACUUUCAGCGGGCGGAAAAGCCUCGGCCUGCCGCCAUCCACCGUCUAGUCUGAAGCAAACAAAAAAUGUCAGCCGCUGGCUCGCUCGCCUCUCUCGGGAAACCUGCGUGGCUCGCCCGCCCGGCCCCCGCGCCCCGCCUGAGGCCGCGGUCGGCCCGGGGCUUCUCCGGAGGCGCCCAUUGCCGCCGCGAAGAGUUGGGCUCUGUCAGCCGCGGGUCGCUCGGGGGGCCGAGGCGCGGCUCUUACCGCAGGGAAAGGAACGGAGCCGGUCCCUGCGCCUGGUGCGCUUCCCUGAGCUGUGGGACGUGCACCCGGGACUCGGCUCAGACACUUGCAGCCUGAGGGGCUGCGGGGGGUGGGGGGUGGGCAGUCCGCUUGUGUGCGUCAGUCUUCCCUCGCCGUUGGUGGUGGGCCUGCGUACCUCCAAACCUGCAGACUAGGCCGGAGCGCGUGCGAGGGAACUGUCAGAAGGACACGUGGAGGCACCUCCAAGUUGGUUCAAAUGAAUGGGCGGUGAGCCGAGUGGCCAGCUAGCGUAGGGUUUUUUUGUCCUCUGCCUCCUGUGGUGGUGUUGCCCUUUAUCGGUAUCCCAACGCGGUUCCUGCUCUGCGGAUUUUGUCGAGGUUUUGGCCUCUCCGUAAAUAGAUCGCAGUCAGUCCGGCCAGUCGGGUGUUAGGAGAGCAGUGAUUUUUUUUGUGAGAUUAUUAAACACUUAACAUUUGUUAACUGGAAGAUCUAGUCUGUUCUUAAAACAGUGGAAAUUAUGUUCCUUAAUGGUCGUUGCUUUUCAACUUUGUCUCCGUCUUUGGAUGCAAAGUAUUAAGUGGUGACAAAAAAGUUUAGGAAGAAAUAUGUAUAUACCCCCCCCCCCCCCCGACUUGGGGCAGGUUUCUUCGCCAAAGGGCGGGGGGAAGGGGGGGAGGGAAAAAAAGGCCCAUUCGUCUCCAAAAUCUAACUUGCAGGUUAAAGUAAGGAUUCAUCCGAAGUCAGUACCUUUACUUCCUUAAGAUAGCUAUUCUGGCGGCAGUUGCUGUGGAGACAGUAGCCGGCAACCUGAAUUAUAAAGGCAAAUUAACAGUGUGAUACCCAGCUGGGAUCUGGACCCGACAAUGGACAAGAAAAAUCAGAACCAUAAUGAUUCACUUCCUUAAAUUAUAUAAUUUUGUAGCAAGAAGAGUUCAACCAAUGAGAUAAUUUACAUGACAGCUUUUUGGAGAUAAUAAUUAUGGCAAAUGUGACUUACUGCUACAAGAUUUAAGUCCCUCUACCAGACGAAGAAACUCCCUUGGUCAAAAAUUCCAUAUUGGCCUGGCUCAAGACAUAAGAGACAAAUAGAAGACACCUGCACCCACACUCACAAAAAGUGUAGAGGAAGAGUGGUUUUAAAUUAAGACCUCUCAGGAGAGGAGUGGGACUAGAGACUAAGGACUCAACCAAUCAUGCGGAUGUAAUGAAGUCCCAAUAAAAACUCGACAUUUUGAAGCUUGCGCGAGGAAGCUUCACUUUGGGGACCCUCCCAGACCUCUCACCCUGUGCAUCUCUCUCUUU
Hippopotamus amphibius kiboko is the source of this 1651-nucleotide long non-coding RNA. RefSeq lists it as uncharacterized. The record is from RefSeq and is a predicted model, not a curated record. Lineage: Eukaryota; Metazoa; Chordata; Mammalia; Artiodactyla; Hippopotamidae. The transcript has 4 exons.